This 445-nucleotide ribosomal RNA is filed under the name uncultured Anaerolineaceae bacterium. RNAcentral's name for it is "bacterial SSU rRNA". It matches the Rfam family "Bacterial small subunit ribosomal RNA", at positions 336 to 797 of the family's 1533-position model. The record is from RNAcentral. Lineage: Bacteria; Bacillati; Chloroflexota; Anaerolineae; Anaerolineales; Anaerolineaceae.
UUCCUACGGGGGGCAGCAGUAGGGAAUAUUGCAAAAUGGGCGAAAGCCUGAUGCAGCAACGCCGCGUGUGCGAUGAAGGCCUUCGGGUCGUAAAGCACUUUUCGAUGGGAUGAGGACGGACAGUACCAUCGGAAUAAGCCUCGGCUAACUACGUGCCAGCAGCCGCGGUAAAACGUAGGAGGCGAGCGUUAUCCGGAUUUACUGGGUGUAAAGCGCGUGCAGGAGGACUGGAAAGUUGGAUGUAAAAGCUCACGGCUUAACUGGGAGAGGUCGUUCAAAACUACCGGUCUAGAGUACAGUAGAGGAAAGUGGAAUUCCGGGUGUAGUGGUGAAAUGCGUAGAUAUCCGGAGGAACACCAGUGGCGAAAGCGGCUUUCUGGACUGAAACUGACGCUCAGACGCGAAAGCUAGGGUAGCAAACGGGAUUAGAUACCCUAGUAGUCGC